UCUCCUCCUCCGCCGCCGCCCCCAUCUUGGCCCUCUCUAGUUAGCGACUUCCUGCCCUGCCCGCGCCGCGCCACCGUAUCCUCCUCCUUUGCACCGCUGCCGUCCUGCUCCUGCCCGUCGUCCAACUCCUGCUCCUCCACCGGAACCAACCGGAGCACGCCUGGAAGUGGAGAAAUCCCCGUCCUUCUCUGUACUGGAUCUGGAUCGGCUCCCAUGAUUCUUCCUCCCUCUGUUGGCAGAUCUCUUAUCUUUGUGAACUUUUGUGAUGAUCCGGCAUGGAGGUCAAACCCGACGCCGGCUUGUCGGAGCGGAGUGGCCGUGCGGUGGCCUACGGCACGGCUCACUGGAGGCAGCAGUGCAGCGGCAUCGCCGUUUCCUUCCCCGUCCAUGAGCGGUGCAGCCAACCUCUGGCCUCUGCUUCUUCCUCCCUGACGGCAGCAUGGAACAAAUAGUGGGUUCUGCUAACCCCGACCGCGGCCUAACAUGCAUGGACUGAAGCGCUGGACAGGCGCCCACUACUCGGCUCUGCAUGUCUGGGUCAUCUAAGAUAAGUUGUUCUGUCUCUUCCUUAAGUGAGAUCGUGUGCUUCUCUGAUCCAGUUGUAGUAAGUUGUACAAGGCCUUAGCUGGUUUUCAGGGAGGAACUUCACCUCAUGGGUGAAACUUGGGUAAAACUACGGGCAUACAAAAUACAUCUUUGUUUUGUUGCCUUACAAACAUGGUUGUGAACGAACUGAAUGUUGGCAAACAACUGUAUAUCCAUCCUCACUUAUUCUGAUAUUUUUGGAAGUGAAAGGUAGUAAGGAUAGCACAGAGAGCAGAGAGCACACUGGGUAUGUUGGAAAAAUUGGUCGAAGUUACAGUCCAGUAGCUGGCAUAAAUAUAGGACAACUAGAAUGCCUAAAUGCACAAAAUGUUGAUGGUAAGACAUGCUUGACAACUACCUAACACGAUUAGAUUAUUCUUUUCGUAAAUUUAGACAAAAAAUAGUAUUGUCUUCACAAUGUCCACCACUGAAUAUCUUUGUGCAUUUCUAGACCUUGAAGUUAUAUAAAAAAAUCCAGUUUAUCUUCUCACUUGUGUCCUGGAAGGUUUCAGCAUCUGUACCCAUAUCCGUGAUUGCUUUUACAUGUGUUCUGAUUCAGCUUGUACCUUCAUUAACGUGAAGUAAUUUUUAAGAUAUAUAUAGACUAAAUUUGUUGUCUGAUUCAUGCAAGCCUUGUUUCUGUUGCUGCCACUUUGUAUAAAUAUAUACUGGUUCGUGCAAGCCUUGCUCCUACUUCAAAUUUGUAGUCUGAACGUACCUAUAUAUCCGUGCAUCAGACUAAAUUUGUAGUAUGAUUCGUGAAGUAGGAGCAAGGCUUGUUCCUACUGCUGCCACCUUGUAUAAAUAUAUACUGGUUCAUUUCAUUUCAUUAUUAUUUUUUGUUAUAAAUAAUAGUACUAUGUUGGUCAAGUGGGCAGCAUAUAAAAUUGUUAUGCACAGAAGUAACGCAGAUAAUAAAAUCAAUGUGUUUAUGAUAGAAAAGCUUUUCUGUAUAUUUUGAAUGAAUAUAAAUGAUGCAUGAUCAUUUCAAGCUGCACUUCCCUAUCCAUUAUUUCAUUGUUUAUCAAGUAUUUUCAAGUUUCAUAGUCCACUACAUUACAAAUUUUGUUUUUUCAUCUAAAAACAAAUACAUAGCUUAAUGUUCCAUGAAUAAAACCAAGUGUGGGAGAUCUCUCAAGGAAACUGUAUCAUAUUCUUUGGUGAAAUUUUCCAUGCCAUUUGAAGUUCACUUGGCAGGCAAGUAUUGUUUACUACUCCCUCUGUCCCAUAAUGUAAGAUGUUUUUUGACACUACACUAGUGUCAAAAAACGUCCUAUAUUAUGGGACGGAGGGAGUAUUUGUUAGCCCAUUGAGAUGUAGUUGCAACAUAAACAUUGCUGCUGCUCGUCGACCCUGAUGACAUAAACUUCAAAUAUUUACGUGUCAACAAGUCUACACAUCAUGGGGGGAUAUUGUUUGUUAGUGAUAUGCCAUUCCGUUGGCGGGUUUAUAUGGCCUCAACUACUGCUGCUAUAGUACUUGGAGCUCUGUGAUGUGUAUUUUUUCACUUUGUCAUGUGAAUUUCAUUUGACACACUUUUCUUUGUAUUAAUUUUAAGAAACCACGUGUUUACUCUUGUUUUAUACUCCAUCUGUGGGCACUAUAAGAUUUAGGAAUUCUGGACAUCAUGUAAUUCAUUUUUUAUUUUUGUUGCAAUUCUCUUAUUUCUACUAUCCAUUCAUAUCUCCAAAUAUCUAAUAUUCUUGUAAAUAUGCUAGGUAAUAUUGGAUAGAGUGCUACUUGGUGCUGCCCAUCACAAUCAUCCACAACAUGAUAGUUGCCAUCAAGAGCGUCGACGCAAGAGCCUGAAUAACAACAGACUCAAUAGUUUAUGUGUUCUGUUGAUGUAAAAUGGAUUGUAUUGGUUCACAACUCUAUUGUGUGAUAUAUUUUCUCAACCUAUGUUGUAUGUUAUCAUUUUGUAGAGGAUUUUUUAAACUGCUAUGUUUGUAGAUACGUACAAAUGGAUGUGAUAAACUUUAUAAUGUUUCA
This is a long non-coding RNA of Triticum aestivum (bread wheat), 2577 nucleotides long. RefSeq lists it as uncharacterized. The transcript is spliced from 3 exons. The record is from RefSeq and is a predicted model, not a curated record. Lineage: Eukaryota; Viridiplantae; Streptophyta; Magnoliopsida; Poales; Poaceae.